AAUCCAUAGGUUAAUGAGGCGAACCGGGGGAACUGAAACAUCUAAGUACCCCGAGGAAAAGAAAUCAACCGAGAUUCCCCCAGUAGCGGCGAGCGAACGGGGAGGAGCCCAGAGCCUGAAUCAGCAUGUGUGUUAGUGGAAGCGUCUGGAAAGGCGCGCGAUACAGGGUGACAGCCCCGUACACAAAAGCGCAUGUGCUGUGAGCUCGAUGAGUAGGGCGGGACACGUGGUAUCCUGUCUGAAUAUGGGGGGACCAUCCUCCAAGGCUAAAUACUCCUGACUGACCGAUAGUGAACCAGUACCGUGAGGGAAAGGCGAAAAGAACCCCGGCGAGGGGAGUGAAAAAGAACCUGAAACCGUGUACGUACAAGCAGUGGGAGCACCCUUUGGGUGUGACUGCGUACCUUUUGUAUAAUGGGUCAGCGACUUAUAUUCUGUAGCAAGGUUAACCGAAUAGGGGAGCCGGAGGGAAACCGAGUCUUAAUUGGGCGUUAAGUUGCAGGGUAUAGACCCGAAACCCGGUGAUCUAGCCAUGGGCAGGUUGAAGGUUGGGUAACACUAACUGGAGGACCGAACCGACUAAUGUUGAAAAAUUAGCGGAUGACCUGUGGCUGGGGGUGAAAGGCCAAUCAAACCGGGAGAUAGCUGGUUCUCCCCGAAAGCUAUUUAGGUAGCGCCUCGUGAAUUCAUCUCCGGGGGUAGAGCACUGUUUCGGCUAGGGGGCCAUCCCGGCUUACCAACCCGAUGCAAACUGCGAAUACCGGAGAAUGUUAUCACGGGAGACACACGGCGGGUGCUAACGUCCGUCGUGAAGAGGGAAACAACCCAGACCGCCAGCUAAGGUCCCAAAGUCAUGGUUAAGUGGGAAACGAUGUGGGAAGGCCCAGACAGCCAGGAUGUUGGCUUAGAAGCAGCCAUCAUUUAAAGAAAGCGUAAUAGCUCACUGGUCGAGUCGGCCUGCGCGGAAGAUGUAACGGGGCUAAACCAUGCACCGAAGCUGCGGCAGCGACACUGUGUGUUGUUGGGUAGGGGAGCGUUCUGUAAGCCUGCGAAGGUGGCCUGUGAGGG
RNAcentral lists this ribosomal RNA (1068 nucleotides) under Salmonella enterica subsp. enterica serovar Enteritidis. RNAcentral's name for it is "partial 23S ribosomal RNA". It matches the Rfam family "Bacterial large subunit ribosomal RNA", at positions 161 to 1269 of the family's 2925-position model. The record is from RNAcentral. Lineage: Bacteria; Pseudomonadati; Pseudomonadota; Gammaproteobacteria; Enterobacterales; Enterobacteriaceae.